Molecule: ribosomal RNA, 501 nt
Filed under: uncultured bacterium
Lineage: Bacteria
Description: partial 16S ribosomal RNA
Rfam family: Bacterial small subunit ribosomal RNA
Source: RNAcentral
AUUGAACGCUGGCGGCAGGCUUAACACAUGCAAGUCGAGCGGGGUGAUGGUGCUUGCACUAUCACUUAGCGGCGGACGGGUGAGUAAUGCUUAGGAAUCUGCCUAUUAGUGGGGGACAACAUCUCGAAAGGGAUGCUAAUACCGCAUACGUCCUACGGGAGAAAGCAGGGGAUCACUUGUGACCUUGCGCUAAUAGAUGAGCCUAAGUCGGAUUAGCUAGUUGGUGGGGUAAAGGCCUACCAAGGCGACGAUCUGUAGCGGGUCUGAGAGGAUGAUCCGCCACUGGGACUGAGACACGGCCCAGACUCCUACGGGAGGCAGCAGUGGGGAAUAUUGGACAAUGGGGGGAACCCUGAUCCAGCCAUGCCGCGUGUGUGAAGAAGGCCUUAUGGUUGUAAAGCACUUUAAGCGAGGAGGAGGCUCUUUUGGUUAAUACCCAAGAUGAGUGGACGUUACUCGCAGAAUAAGCACCGGCUAACUCUGUGCCAGCAGCCGCGGUAA